AAACAAAUUUGUGAUAAUCGUAAUUUCAAAAUUUAGCUGUUGAUAAUUUCUAAGAGUUGACUUCACUUAGAUAUUUUGUUGUCUUAUUUUUUUUUUUUUUUUUUUUUUUAUUAUGUUUAUUUUUUUAGCAGUUACAUCAAAAUGGAGCAACACUAACAAGCUCUGUGACAUAAAACAAGACUUGAUCCGGACAGCGUUACACAACCGGAUUACAACUCUAGACACUUUAGUUACAUCAGAUUGGAGCAACACUGACAAGCUCUGUGACAUAAAAGAAGACUUGAUCCAGACCGCAGUAGUUUUAAACACAACCGGACUACAACUCUAAAGCAUGAUCAAGUAACCAAUAAACAUGGUUCAAGUAUCACCUUCUUUUUUUCUCAGUGAAACUUAGUGCUUUAUUAAACAAAACAAACACAAUAAGGGGUGAAACCCUUCGAAUGUAGCUAGGUAGGUUAGUACAAUUUCUCGAUCCAUUCCUUGUAUUUCUUUAAAUCCAGGGGUGGGGGCUUUUUUCUUUUGGGUAUGUUGAUGAUUUACGAUUAGGGAAUUAGGACAAUAUGUACAACCUAAAUAUUACGUAGGACCAACAAUCGUACAUGACACAUAUUAAAUACAACACAAUUUACACAGGAUACAUUGACUAAUGAUAACAAUGCAUCCGCCCACAAAUAAUGGCCCAGCACCACGUACUUAAUAAGGAGCCAGACAAAAGAAUACUGGCUCCAAGUACACAAUUGCAAUCAUCCAGAUGGGGUCGGGCAAAAGAAUACCGCCCCCCUCUACCCGAUCUCAAAUACUUGCAGCUGGUGUGUUUGUGACCGAGCCGGAUCAACAGAUGGGAAAGAUUGAAGAGGAGGAUGGAAAGAAAGAUGACCGAAGGAUAACAAUGAGAGCCUGCCGACAUUACCUCCCGGACUCAUAAACAAUUGCAAACGAGUCUCCCCUGGGUUGUCAUGCCACGAUCUGAACAGAUCAGGUCCUUUUAAGGGCCCCUAUGGGCAACCUAGGGAGAUGCCUCAGCAUCAACUAGGAUCCAGUAACGAGCUACUCUCAGCACACUCUGAUUCAAAACAUAUGUAGCUCCCUCCUCAGAGGUUGUGCCCAAGACAGGCAUGCUUGAACAGUUCUCUGAUGGCAGCAUGCCAAAAAUUACACACACACAGCUCCCUUCAUUAAACUGGACACUUUUUCCCUUUGGCAUUAAUCUUACGGGACAUUCAAAAUUCCACAGCACCAAACCCACCCUCGGCCUGUUACCAACUCCGGUCAGGCUGCUGGUGCUCACUCGCGGAUGGUCCCUUCUGCCACCCAACCCACCCCUUUCCUAUCCUGGACAGAGAAGCCAUAUAGUUUACUGAAAAAUUCAAAUAUGUUUUAAAUGUUAAGUUCUGUAAAUUUAUUAGGGUAAUUAAACUCACAGAUGUCCCCUGAAACAUACACAUAUCAAAAUAGCGUAAAGUUAAUUGUUUUCUUACAGUUUCUUACAAUUGAAAAAUACAGGUUCAAAAUGAGAUAUUUUAUGUUUAAAACUUUGUUCAAUGAUGUUUUUUUAAUUGUCAAGCUGGAUGCAUAAAUGUUAAAGCAUAUAUUAAAUAUAUACCUUGCAUUCUAUUCAUAUUUAAAGUAUUAAAAACAAAUUUGUGAUAAUCGUAAUUUCAAAAUUUAGCUGUUGAUAAUUUCUAAGAGUUGACUUCACUUAGAUAUUUUGUUGUCUUAUUUUUUUUUUUUUUUUUUUUUUUUUAUUAUGUUUAUUUUUUUAGCAGUUACAUCAAAAUGGAGCAACACUAACAAGCUCUGUGACAUAAAACAAGACUUGAUCCGGACAGCGUUACACAACCGGAUUACAACUCUAGACUUGUUUGUAACAUUGAUCAAAUUGUUUUAAAAUGUAUAUUACAUUUUGUAAGAGUUGUCUCCACUUUCCCUGUUCCAGUCGAGGGACACAUGUUUGGGUUACUGUAGAGUGUGGGUCUUAUGUUUGGCUUUCAAUUAUUGUUAUGUGUAUUACACUUACUUUUAGCUACAUUACAAAUUAUUAUUUUAGACUUCACUGUAAAUAUUGCAAGGAGUUGUCUCCACUUUGCCUGUA
Molecule: long non-coding RNA, 2092 nt
Organism: Gigantopelta aegis
Lineage: Eukaryota; Metazoa; Mollusca; Gastropoda; Neomphalida; Peltospiridae
Exons: 2
Source: RefSeq, a predicted model, not a curated record